RNAcentral lists this ribosomal RNA (915 nucleotides) under uncultured marine archaeon. RNAcentral's name for it is "bacterial SSU rRNA". It matches the Rfam family "Archaeal small subunit ribosomal RNA", at positions 1 to 921 of the family's 1478-position model. The record is from RNAcentral.
UUCCGGUUGAUCCCGCCGGAGGCUACCGCUAUUGGAGUUCGAUUAAGCCAUGCGAGUCGCGAGAAAUUAGAUUCUCGGCGUACCGCUCAGUAACACGUGGGUAACCUGCCCUAUGCUGGAUAAUAACCUCGGGAAACUGAGAAUAAUGAUCCAUAGUUCACUACGCCUGGAACGGUGAGUGGAUGAAAGCUCCGGCGGCAUAGGAUGGGCCUGCGGCGUAUCAGGUUGUAGGGGGUGUAAAGUACCCUCUAGCCCUCUACGCGUACGGGUGUUGGGAGACAUAGCCCGGAGAUGGAUUCUGAGACACGAAUCCAGACCCUACGGGGUGCAGCAGGCGCGAAAACUUGGCAAUGCGAGCAAUCGUGACCAGGGAACUCCAAGUGCAUGGGGUAAGACCCAUGCUUUUCUUGACUCUAAAUAGGUCUUGGAAUAAGGGGUGGGUAAGGACGGUGCCAGCCGCCGCGGUAAUACCGGCGCCUCAAGUGGUAGUCGCUUUUAUUGGGCCUAAAACGUCCGUAGCCGGUCUGAUACAUUCGUGGGUAAAUCAACCAGCUUAACUGGUUGAAUUCUGCGAGGACGGUCAGACUUGGGACCGGGAGAGGUGUGGGGUACGCUCAGGGUAGGGGUAAAAUCCUGUCAUCCUGAGCGGACCACCUGUUGCGAAGGCGCCACACUAGAACGGAUCCGACGGUCAGGGACGAAGCCUAGGGGCACGAACCGGAUUAGAUACCCGGGUAGUCCUAGGUGUAAACGCUGUGGACUUGAUGUUGGGGGUGCUCCGAGCACUCUCAGUGUCGAAGCGAAGGUGAUAAGUCCACUGCCUGGGAAGUACGGUCGCAAGGCUGAAACUUAAAGGAAUUGGCGGGGGAGCACCGCAACCUGAGGAUUGUGCGGUUUAAUUGGAGUCAACGCCGG